CAGGUCAGCAUACUGCCGUGAAUACGUUCCCGGGCCUUGUACACACCGCCCGUCACACCAUGAGAGUUGGGGAUACCCGAAGCCUGUGAGCCAACUGUAAAGAGGCAGCAGUCGAAGGUAGAAUCAAUGAUUGGGGUGAAGUCGUAACAAGGUAGC
RNAcentral lists this ribosomal RNA (156 nucleotides) under uncultured bacterium. RNAcentral's name for it is "partial 16S ribosomal RNA". It matches the Rfam family "Bacterial small subunit ribosomal RNA", at positions 1345 to 1500 of the family's 1533-position model. The record is from RNAcentral.